CACAUGAGCGGCUAGCAUUAUCCGCAAUUAUUGGGCGUAUAGGAUACGUAGGUGGUUUGUGAAGUCUAGCUUAACUAAACGAGUUUAUUUAGUUUUUAUAGAAACCACACACUUAGAGUUAAAAAGAAGUUUACGUUACUCAUAAAUUAGCGAUAAAAUGCAACUAUUUUAUGGAGGACACCUAAAGCGAAGGCAGUUUGCUAUUUUUAACUGACGCUGAGGUAUGAAAGUGUAGGUAUCGAGUAGGAUUAGAGACCCUAUUAGUCUACACCCUAAACUAUGAGCAUUAAAUUUUUACGUAAAUUGUAAGAAUUUAAGCUAACGCGUAAAUGCUCCGCCUGGGAAGUACAACAGCAAUGUUGAAACUUAACAGAAUUGGCGGGAAUUUGAUUUAACGGUGGAACAUGUGGUUUAAUUCGAUAAUCCGCGAAAAACCUUACCGAUAUCGUUAUAAACCUACUAUUUUUUUUAACCAAAAAAUUUAGGCAUAUACAUGGUGUUGCAUGGCUGUCGUCAGUUCGUGUUGUGAGAUGUUAAAUUAACUUUUUCAACGGACGCAACCCCAGACAUUUGUUUUAUCUAUACUUAGUUAAAGAUCGUGUAAACUUGCUUAGGUAGAUUACUAAUGUAUUCCUUAUAAUUAAAAAUUUAAGGUAGGGUCGGGCUGAAGUCAAGUCCUUAUGGCCUCCAUAUAUCGGGCUACACACGUGUUACAAUGGUAGAAACAAAGUGUCACGAUAAUUAAAUUUAGAGUAAAUCACGAAAAUCUACCUCAGUUCGAAUUGUUUUCUGAAAGCUGAAAACAUGAAGGUGAAAUCGUUAGUAAUCGUAAAUUAGUAUGUUACGGUGAAUUAAAAAUCAAAUUCUGCACACACCGCCCAUCACGCUCGAAAAGUUGAUGUGAUGGAAAAUAUUGCUUAUAAGGCUAUAAUUGUAUUUAUUACUAAGUCGAGUCCUUACGUAGUGCAAUAUUGAAACUCUCGUUAGCAAUUUGAGUGAAGUUG
Molecule: ribosomal RNA, 1004 nt
Filed under: Sagittaria sp. Sasp1
Lineage: Eukaryota; Ciliophora; Colpodea; Cyrtolophosidida; Sagittariidae
Description: partial small subunit ribosomal RNA
Rfam family: Bacterial small subunit ribosomal RNA
Source: RNAcentral